Molecule: ribosomal RNA, 568 nt
Filed under: Columbicola passerinae
Lineage: Eukaryota; Metazoa; Arthropoda; Insecta; Psocodea; Philopteridae
Description: bacterial SSU rRNA
Rfam family: Eukaryotic small subunit ribosomal RNA
Source: RNAcentral
CAAAGAUUAAGCCAUGCAUGUCUCAGUGCAAGCCGAAUUAAGGUGAAACCGCGAAAGGCUCAUUAAAUCAGCUAUGGUUCCUUAGAUGGUACGUACAGUUACUUGGAUAACUGUGGCAAUUCUAGAGCUAAUACAUGCAAACCGAGUUCCGACCGCCCCCAAAAAGGCGGAAGGAAUGCUUUUAUUAGAUCAAAACCAAUCGGGUUCGACGGUCCGGGAACGGUCCGUCUUCCCGUCACGUCUUGGCGACUCUGAAUAACUUUGUGCUGAUCGCACGGUCCCGCACCGGCGACGCAUCUUUCAAAUGUCUGACUUAUCAACUUUCGAUGGUAGGCUCUGCGCCUACCAUGGUCGUAACGGGUAACGGGGAAUCAGGGUUCGAUUCCGGAGAGGGAGCCUGAGAAACGGCUACCACAUCCAAGGAAGGCAGCAGGCGCGCAAAUUACCCACUCCCGGCACGGGGAGGUAGUGACGAAAAAUAACGAUGCAGAACUCUUUCCGAGGCUCUGCAAUCGGAAUGAGAACACUCUAAAUCAUUUAACGAGUAUCCAUUGGAGGGCAAGUCUGG